AGAGUUUGAUCCUGGCUCAGGACGAACGCUGGCGGUGUGCUUCACACAUGCAAGUCGAACGAGGUAGCAAUACCUAGUGGCGGACGGGUGAGUAACGCGUGGGAAUCUGCCUUUGAAUGGGGGAUAACGGGGCGAAAGUUCCGCUAAUACCGCAUAGGCCGAAAGGUUAAAGGAGUAAUCCGUUCAAAGAUGAGCCCGCG
Molecule: ribosomal RNA, 200 nt
Filed under: uncultured bacterium
Lineage: Bacteria
Description: partial 16S ribosomal RNA
Rfam family: Bacterial small subunit ribosomal RNA
Source: RNAcentral